UCUACCGUGCUAGACGGGGAGGUUGCGGUGCCCUGUAACCUGCAAUCCGCAAUAGCCAGGGUGUGAAUUCCUAUCCUAGGUUUUCUUAUGUGAGGCUGCCGUUGAUGGCGGCGGUGUUGAGGAGCGGGUCCUGUGCAACGCGAACCCAUGAACCUGGUCAGGUCCGGAAGGAAGCAGCCAUAAGUGGAUCAUCGCGUGUGCCGCAGGGUAGCCUGCUCUGAGCUGCUACCAUAAGUAACGCUCGGAUAAGGAUUAUCGAAGAUAGGUGCACGGUA
This 275-nucleotide signal recognition particle RNA is filed under the name Brevibacillus brevis. RNAcentral describes it as "small cytoplasmic RNA". It matches the Rfam family "Bacterial large signal recognition particle RNA". From Rfam's summary of the family: The signal recognition particle (SRP) is a universally conserved ribonucleoprotein involved in the co-translational targeting of proteins to membranes. Archaeal SRP consists of a 7S RNA and homologues of the eukaryotic SRP19 and SRP54 proteins. Lineage: Bacteria; Bacillati; Bacillota; Bacilli; Caryophanales; Paenibacillaceae. The record is from RNAcentral.